RNAcentral lists this ribosomal RNA (406 nucleotides) under uncultured bacterium. RNAcentral describes it as "partial 16S ribosomal RNA". It matches the Rfam family "Bacterial small subunit ribosomal RNA", at positions 30 to 526 of the family's 1533-position model. The record is from RNAcentral.
AUUGAACGCUGGCGGCAGGCCUAACACAUGCAAGUCGAACGAGUGGCGGACGGGUGAGUAAUGUCUGGGGAACUGCCCGAUGGAGGGGGAUAACUACUGGAAACGGUGGCUAAUACCGCAUACCAUCGGAUGUGCCCAGAUGGGAUUAGCUAGUAGGUGGGGUAAAGGCUCACCUAGGCGACGAUCUCUAGCUGGUCUGAGAGGAUGAUCAGCCACACUGGAACUGAGACACGGCCCAGACUCCUACGGGAGGCAGCAGUGGGGAAUAUUGCACAAUGGGCGCAAGCCUGAUGCAGCCAUGCCGCGUGUAUGAAGAAGGCCUUAGGGUUGUAAAGUACUUUCAGCGGGGAGGCGUUACCCGCAGAAGAAGCACCGGCUAACUCCGUGCCAGCAGCCGCGGUAAUUC